GAGGAAAGAUUUAAACCAUAUUUGAAUAGGUGAAGAACGAAAAUGAAAAUGAAAAUGGGGAGAAAAUGGAGCUAGUACAUAAGCUUCGAGAAAGAAGAAGAAGAGAAAAUGAGAACAGGAGAAGAAGAAGAAGACAAGAAGCCAGCAGCCGAGAAGGAAACCGAGUUCUUCUCGUAGCUCCUCGAGUCGCAACUAAGUUGAGCUGAUUUGGAAUCCUUUUGCUUAGGUUUAGAUCUUUAGAUCAAUCUCAAUCUGAACCUACGAAGAUGUGAAUGAGAUGAGAAGGAGACGUCAAUCAUAUGCGAAAGAGGAAGGCACAGACAGAUAUAUAUGUCAAUGUGCUGUGCACAAUAACGUGAUGUGUUUGAUUUUCUAAUGGAUGUCUUUUUGUGUGAUUUUUCUUUUCAAAUUUAAUGCAUUUGUGUGUCUAGACUCUAGAUGGCCACGAGGCCCACGACUGGAUCGGCAAGGGAGUAGAGGCAUAUUGAAGACGGAUGAAUCCUAGACGUUGAAUUGUGGCCCAAGUUAGGGUUGCUUGUUUUCUAAGAGAUUAUUAAGUGGGUUAGAAGGAUGAGUAGAGCUGUAGAGGCAUAUUGGGGUUGCGUGAAGACGGAUGAACCCUAGACGUUGUAUUGUGGCUCAAGUUAGGGCUGCUUGUUUUCUAAGAGAUUAUUAAGUGGGUUAAAAGGAUGACUAUCAAACUUUGAACAGAAACCUUAGCGAGAUAUAGAAGAUGGAGAGAGAAUCUCAUCUUUCGACUCCUGAUCCCAGCUCCUAUGAUAUUUUUGAUUUUGCCUCAUUAUCAACAAUUGAUGUCUCUAUAUGAUUUUAUUUGAGGAUAAUGCGUAACAGUGUAACACACAAGUUAUCUAUGUUGUAUAUUAUUAGGAGAGACUUCAUAAUUUCUUUACUGGAUCGGAACAGAGCCAAGGGUAUGUAUCUC
RNA transcript from Arabidopsis thaliana (thale cress), 943 nucleotides. RefSeq lists it as uncharacterized. The record is from RefSeq. The transcript has a single exon. Lineage: Eukaryota; Viridiplantae; Streptophyta; Magnoliopsida; Brassicales; Brassicaceae.